ACGCUGGCGGCGUGCUUAACACAUGCAAGUCGAACGGAAAGGCCCUUCGGGGUACUCGAGUGGCGAACGGGUGAGUAACACGUGGGUGAUCUGCCCUGCACUUUGGGAUAAGCCUGGGAAACUGGGUCUAAUACCGGAUAGGACCACGGUCUGCAUGGAUUGUGGUGGAAAGCUUUUGCGGUGUGGGAUGGGCCCGCGGCCUAUCAGCUUGUUGGUGGGGUGAUGGCCUACCAAGGCGACGACGGGUAGCCGGCCUGAGAGGGUGACCGGCCACACUGGGACUGAGAUACGGCCCAGACUCCUACGGGAGGCAGCAGUGGGGAAUAUUGCACAAUGGGCGCAAGCCUGAUGCAGCGACGCCGCGUGAGGGAUGACGGCCUUCGGGUUGUAAACCUCUUUCGGUAGGGACGAAGCGCAAGUGACGGUACCUACAGAAGAAGGACCGGCCAACUACGUGCCAGCAGCCGCGGUAAUACGUAGGGUCCGAGCGUUGUCCGGAAUUACUGGGCGUAAAGAGCUCGUAGGUGGUUUGUCGCGUUGUCCGUGAAAACUCACAGCUCAACUGUGGGCGUGCGGGCGAUACGGGCAGACUGGAGUACUGCAGGGGAGACUGGAAUUCCUGGUGUAGCGGUGGAAUGCGCAGAUAUCAGGAGGAACACCGGUGGCGAAGGCGGGUCUCUGGGCAGUAACUGACGCUGAGGAGCGAAAGCGUGGGGAGCGAACAGGAUUAGAUACCCUGGUAGUCCACGCCGUAAACGGUGGGUACUAGGUGUGGGUUUCCUUCCUUGGGAUCCGUGCCGUAGCUAACGCAUUAAGUACCCCGCCUGGGGAGUACGGCCGCAAGGCUAAAACUCAAAGGAAUUGACGGGGGCCCGCACAAGCGGCGGAGCAUGUGGAUUAAUUCGAUGCAACGCGAAGAACCUUACCUGGGUUUGACAUGCACAGGACGCCGGCAGAGAUGUCGGUUCCCUUGUGGCCUGUGUGCAGGUGGUGCAUGGCUGUCGUCAGCUCGUGUCGUGAGAUGUUGGGUUAAGUCCCGCAACGAGCGCAACCCUUGUCUCAUGUUGCCAGCACGUUAUGGNUGGGAACUCGUGAGAGACUGCCGGGGUCAACUCGGAGGAAGGUGGGGAUGACGUCAAGUCAUCAUGCCCCUUAUGUCCAGGGCUUCACACAUGCUACAAUGGCCGGUACAAAGGGCUGCGAUGCCGUGAGGUGGAGCGAAUCCUUUCAAAGCCGGUCUCAGUUCGGAUCGGGGUCUGCAACUCGACCCCGUGAAGUCGGAGUCGCUAGUAAUCGCAGAUCAGCAACGCUGCGGUGAAUACGUUCCCGGGCCUUGUACACACCGCCCGUCACGUCAUGAAAGUCGGUAACACCCGAAGCCGGUGGCCUAACCCCUUGUGGGAGGGAGCCGUCGAAGG
RNAcentral lists this ribosomal RNA (1418 nucleotides) under Mycolicibacterium rutilum. RNAcentral describes it as "16S ribosomal RNA". It matches the Rfam family "Bacterial small subunit ribosomal RNA". The record is from RNAcentral. Lineage: Bacteria; Bacillati; Actinomycetota; Actinomycetes; Mycobacteriales; Mycobacteriaceae.